GAGACAUCCUAAACAAAGAUGAGAUUUCUGAGUUAGUCUGAAAUUUAUAGGCUGCCUUACAAUUCAUGCUGAUUCUUUUAGUUUCCUAAUUUACUUACUAAUAGAAAUAGCCUCAGGAGACAAUUGCACAUUUUUGUGACUUUCUUUGGAGGAUAAGAUCUGAAAAAUUAAUAAAUGGUUUCAUUUAUAAACUCCUGAACACUACAUACUGUUUAGCCCAUUUCCAAACAUGCAACUGUUGCAUCUUACAUAGGCAUUGAGGGAGAAGACUGUUUUAAAUGCUUCUAUUAUUUAAGAGACUAGAUCAGAAAGAAAGAAGGCUAUUUAGAAUGAGAUAGGCUACUACUUAAAAUUAGACCGCAAGCGGUUGUUAUGAUACCUCCCUCUAAUCCCACUGAUUUUAAGGCCUAGCUCUAUAAUAAAAAUACCUGGGAAGAUUGUUUUUAAUGCCUAGAUGUUGGAUCCAUCUGCAGAGACUCUGACUUAAUUAUCUGAGGUCAGACAUUAAAACAAACUCCUCGAGGUGAUUUAAAAUGUUACGAGUAUCUAUGGUAGCCCCGCCGUCGUAAGCGGCGCUGUGGCCUCGGUUGGGGUGGAGUGAGGCCUCCACGUUCCGUACUCACCUGCGAGGUGUCCUGCGCAGACGGGAGCGAUGUCCCAGAAAAGCAGCCGGUAGACUUGGGUCUCCUCGAGGAGGAUGACGAGUUCGAGGAGUUCCCUGCCGAAGAGCUGAACUGGACUAGGAUGGAGAACCCAGGAUCUGCUUGGAUUUAUUUUUGUUUUUGUAGCACAAGAAAAAUAAAUGAAAAAAAAAAAUGUUCA
RNAcentral lists this long non-coding RNA (822 nucleotides) under Oryctolagus cuniculus (rabbit). RNAcentral's name for it is "lncRNA (ENSOCUG00000029853.1)". Lineage: Eukaryota; Metazoa; Chordata; Mammalia; Lagomorpha; Leporidae. The record is from RNAcentral.